UACGGGGGGUGCGAGCGUUGUCCGGAAUCACUGGGCGUAAAGGGCGCGUAGGUGGUUUGAUAAGGGUGUGGUGAAAGUCCGGAGCUCAACUCCGGAUCUGCCGUGCCGACUGUCAAACUCGAGGGCUGUAGAGGCAGACGGAAUUCCGGGUGUAGCGGUGGAAUGCGUAGAUAUCGGGAGGAACACCUGUGGCGAAAGCGGCUCUCUGGACCACAACUGACGCUGAGGCGCGAAAGCUAGGGGAGCAAACAGG
This 253-nucleotide ribosomal RNA is filed under the name uncultured bacterium. RNAcentral describes it as "partial 16S ribosomal RNA". It matches the Rfam family "Bacterial small subunit ribosomal RNA", at positions 524 to 776 of the family's 1533-position model. The record is from RNAcentral.